GGUUGUGUAGUGUAGUGGUUAUCACUCUGGAUUUUGAGGCACACUUUCCUCACAAGCCUUCCAGUAACCCCGGUUCGAACCCGGGCACGACCU
Molecule: non-coding RNA, 93 nt
Organism: Rhypophila decipiens
Lineage: Eukaryota; Fungi; Ascomycota; Sordariomycetes; Sordariales; Naviculisporaceae
Source: the annotation of a GenBank genome assembly